GAAAAGACUGCAUAUUUAUUUCCCUUCUGGGAACUUCAUGUUCUAUGUUAGCAUAUGUAAGUCUCUAAGGAGCCCUACAGUAACAUUUUUGAGAGCAAAUGGAUUUAACAUUCAUUUGGUCAAAAGUAUUUUCUUUGUUGUUUUGCUUUGUAUUGUUUUCAUGGAAUAUCUUAGUAUCCUAGACCUAACAAGUAUACCAUGAAACAUACCCAGGAAGUAUUAUCAGAGGCCAGGGAUUCCCAGUUGCUUCUCUGCAGAACGGCUGUUCCAGAAUGAGAUUCCAUGGUGACCACUAUUUGACAAAUAACAACAAAGAGACACCGACCAAACUUCCACCAGCAACUGUUGGUUGUAGCAUUAGAAAUGGAGAGAUUCAGGAUGUGUUCUGGAGGAAGAAUUUUCAGAGCCUUCUAAUGAAUUCAAUAUGAUGGAGGACAGUGGGUAGAAAGGUUUGGAUGGUGAGAACACUUCCUCCUGGAGGUUGAAUAAGCAGAUUGCCGGGACCUUCGAGAGUUGAGUGGAGAGUCGGCUUUGGAAAGAGACGAGGCCCCUGCUUGUCCUCCCCUCAUCUCCUAUCUACUCCUCCACGUUGUUCCUCUAACUCUCCUGAGUUAACAGUCUGUUGCCUCAUGUAUCAUGUCCUUAUUUGUCUCUGUACCUCAAAGCACGGUAGUAGUCCAAGCAAAAGAUAUGGCAGGCUGGACCACGGUCACAGCAGGGCAGAUGGAGAGUAUGUUAGUAGAGAAGUUAAAGAUCCAAGGGAGCAGAUCCUGGUGCCUGGUGUUCCCCGUCUAAAUACCCCACCAUGACAAGAAAGACCCUUUGCUAUCUGCCCCUACAUCCAUCUGCCUAUCACCACCUCCCACCUCCAGAGGAACUGUGAACUUCAGGCCCCUCCGUGCCCUGCAGAAUGCUGCUUGUUUUACGUUCACCUCCACGUGGCUCUUCUGGCCUGACCUGACUUCCUCCCCAACUUGCCUCCUUCAUUUCCCACAGCAAAUGGUGCCAUGCAUGACCUUUCCUAUAAUAGGAUGAAGCAUUUUUGCCCAGUUGUCCAAAAUGCUCUGGCAUAUAUCUCAGCUAUGAUAUAACUGGGUAAAAAGAAGAGUAUUGUUUCGCUGUUGGCACCAGAGUUCCGGUUAGGGAAGGAACCAUUUUUGUUUGGGAAAACACACUGAAAAGCUACAGCUAACAGAAAAUAAGGCCUUGAGAGAAAGCAGGAACAACACAGAGACAGAUUAAAAACCUGAGACCCGCAAAAAGCAGUAUGGAGCUGGGAGAGGAGAGAAGGGGGAGAGAUGGGGGGAUGGGCAGAAGAGAUCCAGAGAAUGUGGCAGAAAACAUAUGUCACCAGACGAAGCAGAGACUUUUACAAAAAGAAGGAUCUAAUGUUCAAUUUAAAUUCAUCUACCAUGUGGUCAGGAGAUGCAGUGCCCCCACGCUGUUACUCCUACCUACGUCCAGUGAAAGUUUCCUCUCUGUGACUUCAUCAGCUGAGUGGAACUUUUGGCGUGUGAAGGAGACAGAUGUGACCCAUCACGUGACCAAGACGGAGAGAAAGGCACAGAGAUCAAAGAGAAAAAAGAACUCCGAAGAAACUAGGUCACCAGAGUUAGCAAGGAAAUUUAGAAAAAGAAAUAGAAAUAGAAAUACCAUCCUUCCCCCAUUCUACGUCCCUGUCUGAACAAUGUACCCCACAUGAACCAUAUACCGAGUUAUUUCCCCACCUGUAAAAUCAGAGGGAGAAACUAGGUGGUCCCUCAGGGCCCCUCCAGCUUUAAUAUUCUGUGAAUCUCAACCUUCCACCGAGCUUGGGAAAACUAAUAGAAGUUAUGUCCUAUUGUAGAAAAAUGUUUGGUGCUCCGAAUUAACUUGAUUAGGCACGGGAGAUGACAAAAUAAUGACAGUCGUUUAACACCUAGGUGAGGGGGAAAAAAACAAAUUAAGAGAAGUAUUCUCAUGGCACCAAACAAUGGCUUGUUCAGAUCCUUCUGGCAGCAAUGUAGCGUCUGUUCUAAAAAUUACAACGCGUUUUGAAAUUACUGCUUGAGUGCAUACACAAUGUGUGUCAUGUAUUUAUGUAAUUAUGUUAUUAAAAUUUUUAAAAAGUC
Felis catus (domestic cat) is the source of this 2111-nucleotide long non-coding RNA. RefSeq lists it as uncharacterized. The record is from RefSeq and is a predicted model, not a curated record. The transcript has 3 exons. Lineage: Eukaryota; Metazoa; Chordata; Mammalia; Carnivora; Felidae.